UAGGGAAUAUUGGGCAAUGGAGGGAACUCUGACCCAGCCAUGCCGCGUGCAGGAUGAAGGCGUUAUGCGUUGUAAACUGCUUUUAUAUAGGAAGAAAUAGUCCUUGCGAGGAAAGUUGACGGUACUAUAUGAAUAAGCACCGGCUAACUCCGUGCCAGCAGCCGCGGUAAUACGGAGGGUGCAAGCGUUGUCCGGAUUUAUUGGGUUUAAAGGGUGCGUAGGCGGUUUAUUAAGUCAGUGGUGAAAGACGGUCGCUCAACGAUUGCAGUGCCAUUGAUACUGGUAGACUUGAGUAUGAUUGAGGUAGCUGGAAUGGAUAGUGUAGCGGUGAAAUGCAUAGAUAUUAUCCAGAACACCAAUUGCGUAGGCAAGUUACUAAGUCAUAACUGACGCUGAGGCACGAAAGUGUGGGUAUCAAACAGGAUUAGAUACCCAGUAGUCCCUGAGCGGGCUGGCAAGGCGCAU
RNAcentral lists this ribosomal RNA (465 nucleotides) under uncultured bacterium. Its description in RNAcentral is "bacterial SSU rRNA". It matches the Rfam family "Bacterial small subunit ribosomal RNA", at positions 355 to 825 of the family's 1533-position model. The record is from RNAcentral.